GUGCUGCAUGGCUGUCGUCAGCUCGUGUUGUGAAAUGUUGGGUUAAGUCCCGCAACGAGCGCAACCCUUAUCCUUUGUUGCCAGCGGUCCGGCCGGGAACUCAAAGGAGACUGCCAGUGAUAAACUGGAGGAAGGUGGGGAUGACGUCAAGUCAUCAUGGCCCUUACGACCAGGGCUACACACGUGCUACAAUGGCGCAUACAAAGAGAAGCGACCUCGCGAGAGCAAGCGGACCUCAUAAAGUGCGUCGUAGUCCGGAUUGGAGUCUGCAACUCGACUCCAUGAAGUCGGAAUCGCUAGUAAUCGUGGAUCAGAAUGCCACGGUGAAUACGUUCCCGGGCCUUGUACACACCGCCCGUCACACCAUGGGAGUGGGUUGCAAAAGAAGUAGGUAGCUUAACCUUCGGGAGGGCGCUUACCACUUUGUGAUUCAUGACUGGGGUGAAGUCGUAACAAGGUAACCGUAGGGGAACCUGCGGUUGGAUCACCUCCUUA
Molecule: ribosomal RNA, 495 nt
Filed under: Escherichia coli
Lineage: Bacteria; Pseudomonadati; Pseudomonadota; Gammaproteobacteria; Enterobacterales; Enterobacteriaceae
Also listed under: 3 other names
Description: bacterial SSU rRNA
Rfam family: Bacterial small subunit ribosomal RNA
Source: RNAcentral